AUGGCUAUUGAGCCAGUAGUGUUAGCAGUGUUGGGAUUAAACUUCAUGCAACUGAGGGGGAGGAGGAGGAUUGUGUUCCUUGAGAUGUUCUGUGGGAGGAGAAGGAUUAUGCAUGUUCCUUAUGUAAUGAGGAAGAGUCUGGAGAACUUGAAUGUGUACAAGGAGGAGGUGGGAGUAAUUAUCCAGAAGUGGAAGUUCAUAAAAUGCUUGUGGUUAACUCAAGGCUAGAAGGACUCCCAAAGGUGUGAGGGAUUAAGUGCCAAACCAUGGUUAUUGGGAGCUGCGUUCUUGCCUGCUUGAAGUACUUGGAAUACCCUUGACCAUGGCUAAGUAUUGUUUCUCUUCUCUAUGAAGUGGUUGGAAUCUGAAGAGUUAAUUUUCAUUUUCCUUAAAGUUCACUAAUUGGGGAAAACACAGCAAAUAUCAUCGUGCUGACCUUUGAAAUCUGCCUGACUGUUCUGGGGCCUCGGUUUGGCUGCAGGCAGAGCGGAGGGAUGGAGAGAGAGCAGUUGUUGUGCAGGCACCAGCAAGGGUUAAUCAGCCUUGCCAGCGUGAACAAUGGAGACGGGGCAGCUUUAAACUAAACGAGCUGAAUAUUUCAUUCGGCCACUCAGCUGCCUGCUCCAAUUGCCUCCUUUGCUAAAACGGGAGCUUAAUCUAAAGUGACAACAACAUCAGUUUCUAUGUGCUCCAGUCACACAGAACAUGACUUCCUUAACAUAAACACUAUUUACAUGGAUCGUCUGGAUAUAGCAGGGAAUCAGGAGCGUGCCCAGCUAAGACAGAGGCUACAAUGAAGGACGAAUAACAGGCAGCUGAGAAUUAACAUCAGCAAAUGAAAGCCUGACCCUCAGAGGGCAUGUCCCUGUUACAUUUUAAAGCUAGAAAGCCUUGCACCAGUAACCUUACUUCCAGUAAAGACUAUAUAAUUUAAAAGAAAAUAGUACCUUUUCAGCUUAGAUACUUAACCAAACGCAUUACGUCUGACCCAUUUUCCUACUCCAUAUGACACAAGACGGAGGACCCCCAGCUGCAAUUACCGGUCUUU
Molecule: long non-coding RNA, 1048 nt
Filed under: Anser brachyrhynchus (Pink-footed goose)
Lineage: Eukaryota; Metazoa; Chordata; Aves; Anseriformes; Anatidae
Description: lncRNA (ENSABRG00000012302.1)
Source: RNAcentral